Molecule: ribosomal RNA, 249 nt
Filed under: uncultured bacterium
Lineage: Bacteria
Description: partial 16S ribosomal RNA
Rfam family: Bacterial small subunit ribosomal RNA
Source: RNAcentral
CACGCCCUAAACGAUGUCAACUAGGUGUUGGGUGGGUAAAACCAUUUAGUACCGGAGCUAACGCGUGAAGUUGACCGCCUGGGGAGUACGGCCGCAAGGUUAAAACUCAAAGGAAUUGACGGGGACCCGCACAAGCGGUGGAUGAUGUGGAUUAAUUCGAUGCAACGCGAAAAACCUUACCUACCCUUGACAUGUCAGGAAGUCUCGAGAGAUUGAGAUGUGCCCGAAAGGGAGCCUGAACACAGGUGC